RNAcentral lists this ribosomal RNA (265 nucleotides) under uncultured bacterium. RNAcentral describes it as "partial 16S ribosomal RNA". It matches the Rfam family "Bacterial small subunit ribosomal RNA", at positions 793 to 1055 of the family's 1533-position model. The record is from RNAcentral.
GUCCACGCCGUAAACUAUGAGGACUAGGUGUUGGCUCAAUUUGAGUCAGUGCCGCAGGUAACCCAUUAAGUCCUCCACCUGGGGAGUACGUCCGCAAGGAUGAAACUCAAAGGAAUUGACGGGGCCCGCACAAGCGGUGGAACAUGUGGUUUAAUUCGACGCUACGCGUAGAACCUUACCUAUGUUUGACAUGCUAGAAGUACUGAAGUGAAAGCGGAUGGACUCGUCAAGUCGAGAGCUAGCACAGGUGGUGCAUGGCUGUCGU